Molecule: ribosomal RNA, 251 nt
Filed under: uncultured bacterium
Lineage: Bacteria
Description: partial 16S ribosomal RNA
Rfam family: Bacterial small subunit ribosomal RNA
Source: RNAcentral
GCAAGUCGAGCGGUAACAGGAAUUAGCUUGCUAAUUCGCUGACGAGCGGCGGACGGGUGAGUAAUGCCUGGGAAUAUGCCUUAGUGUGGGGGAUAACUAUUGGAAACGAUAGCUAAUACCGCAUAAUGUCUUCGGACCAAAGAGGGGGAUCUUCGGACCUAUCGCGCUAAGAUUAGCCCAGGUGAGAUUAGCUUGUUGUGAGGUAAGAGCUCACCAAGGCGACGAUCUCUAGCUGGUCUGAGAGGAUGAUC